This 1683-nucleotide ribosomal RNA is filed under the name Triticum aestivum (bread wheat). Its description in RNAcentral is "partial small subunit ribosomal RNA". Lineage: Eukaryota; Viridiplantae; Streptophyta; Magnoliopsida; Poales; Poaceae. The record is from RNAcentral.
AUGGAGGAGGGCGCUGCCGGAGGAGGAGGAGGGGGUGGGGGCGGCGGCGUCACCAUCGCCGGCGAUCGAUCGAGCUUCGUGAUCGGCCUCAUCGAGAACCGAGCCAAGGAGGUUGGUGUUGCGGCAUUUGAUUUGAGAUCAGCCUCACUGCACCUAUCUCAGUAUAUCGAGACAAGCUGUUCAUACCAGAAUACAAAGACACUACUGCAUUUCUAUGAUCCGAAUACUGUAAUUGUGCCCCCAAAUAAAACAGCGGCAGAUGGUAUGGUUGGAGUUUCAGAGCUGGUUGAUAAAAAUUACCAAGCAAGCAAAAAGGUCACAAUGGCACGUGGUUGCUUUGAUGAUACCAAGGGGGCGGUUAUGGUAAAAAAUCUGUCGGCUAGAGACCCAUCUGCACUUGGUUUGGAUACUUACUGCAAGCAGUACUAUCUUUGUCUUGCUGCGGCCUCUGCAACAAUUAAGUGGAUAGAAUCAGAAAAAGGUGUAAUUAUUACUAACCAUUCACUAUCAGUUACAUUCAAUGGCUCAUUUGACCAUAUGAACAUCGAUUCAACUAGUGUUCAAACAUUAGAAAUAAUUGACCCUCUCCAUACUGAACUGUGGGGUACUAGCAACAAAAAGAAAAGUCUCUUUCAGAUGUUGAAGACUACAAAGACUACGGGAGGGUCUAGACUACUGAGAGCCAACUUAUUACAACCAUUAAAAGAUAUUCAAACUAUCAAUACUCGGCUUGACUGCUUGGAUGAGCUAGUGAGCAACGAGGAACUAUUCUUUGGCUUGACACAAGGUCUCCGUAAAUUUCCAAAAGAAUCAGAUAAGGUUCUCUGUCACUUUUGCUUCAAACCCAAAAAGGUCACAGAUGAGGUACUGAAGCCUGCCAAUGGUCGAAAGAGCCAAUUGUUGAUAUCUGACAUUAUUGUUCUAAAAACUGCUCUGGAUGCAAUACCAUUCCUCUCCAAGGUUCUGAAGGGGGCGAACAGUUUUCUUCUUAAGAACAUUUAUCAGACCAUAUGUGAAAACCCAAAGUAUGAGAGCAUGAGAAAGAGAAUCGGAGAAGUGAUUGAUGAAGAUGUUAUUCAUUCGAGGGCUCCUUUUGUAGCCUGCACUCAGCAAUGUUUCGCUAUUAAGCCAGGGAUUGAUGGCCUACUUGAUGUUGCUCGUCGAUCCUUCUGCGAUACAAGCGAAGCCAUACAUAACCUUGCCACCAAGUACAGAGAGGAGUUUACUCUGCCAAAUUUGAAGAUACCGUAUAACAAUAGACUGGGGUUUUACUUUAUUAUACCCCUGAGGGAUAUUACUGAAAAGCUUCCUAAUAAAUUUAUCCAGGUUGUUAGGCAUGGGAAGAAUGUCCAUUGCUCAAGCUUUGAGCUAGCUUCGCUAAAUGUUAGGAACAAGUCGGCUGCUGCUGAGUGCUUCUUGCGCACUGAACUCUGUUUAGAAGCGGGGACAAAUCCAACAUUCUCUUUGCUGGAAGAAGCUGAUCGCAUAUUUUCUGUUCUGAUCAUCCAAGUCAUGGAACCUGAAUUUAUUGUGAGGACAACACUGUUGCUAAGUUGCUGUGCAAUUCUAUUAUUAAAAAAAAAACCAUUCAAUUUACCUUCAAGCCUUAACCAAUGGGGUAACAGUGGCUCAGGAGUAAUUGUUAGGUGCCUGAUUAUGCUUUUUAUGUUUCCUUUUCAAUAG